UAAUCUGCGAUAAGCGCCGGUAAGGUGAUAUGAACCGUUAUAACCGGCGAUACCCGAAUGGGGAAACCCAGUGUGACUCGUCACACUAUCAUUAACUGAAUCCAUAGGUUAAUGAGGCGAACCGGGGGAACUGAAACAUCUAAGUACCCCGAGGAAAAGAAAUCAACCGAGAUUCCCCCAGUAGCGGCGAGCGAACGGGGAGGAGCCCAGAGCCUGAAUCAGCAUGUGUGUUAGUGGAAGCGUCUGGAAAGGCGCGCGAUACAGGGUGACAGCCCCGUACACAAAAGCGCAUGUGCUGUGAGCUCGAUGAGUAGGGCGGGACACGUGGUAUCCUGUCUGAAUAUGGGGGGACCAUCCUCCAAGGCUAAAUACUCCUGACUGACCGAUAGUGAACCAGUACCGUGAGGGAAAGGCGAAAAGAACCCCGGCGAGGGGAGUGAAAAAGAACCUGAAACCGUGUACGUACAAGCAGUGGGAGCACCCUUUGGGUGUGACUGCGUACCUUUUGUAUAAUGGGUCAGCGACUUAUAUUCUGUAGCAAGGUUAACCGAAUAGGGGAGC
Molecule: ribosomal RNA, 561 nt
Filed under: Salmonella enterica
Lineage: Bacteria; Pseudomonadati; Pseudomonadota; Gammaproteobacteria; Enterobacterales; Enterobacteriaceae
Also listed under: 1 other name
Description: partial 23S ribosomal RNA
Rfam family: Bacterial large subunit ribosomal RNA
Source: RNAcentral